AGUAACCUCCUGGACGUGACGUGGGGAGGUUGUGCGCUGCUCCUCUGAAAAGCAACCCACCAGCCUCUUUUGCAUUUUAUAACGAAGAUAUUUAUUAUUAGUGAAUUAUUAAGAGGAAGAUUGACUUUAAUAUCGUCUAAGGAGGAAAAUUGCAUUGAAUAAGGUGCUACGGGCGUGCCAUGGGCGUGUGUGGGCGUGUGGCGGGGGCGUGGGUGGUGGUGGCGGCGGCGGUGGUGGUGGUGGCGGCGGGUUCCACUGUCCCUAAGCGAGGCGUCAAUGAGAUCGAAGCCUUUGUGAAGAGACUCGAGUAUGAAGCAGCCAGGGAGAGGGACGGGGGAAGGUACACAGUGGAGGGGUUGGGGGGGGUGGAGGGCCUGGUGGAGGUGAAUCUGAACCUCCUCCCUGAUGAAGUAAUUGUCAAGGAAAUAGAAGAAGGAUUAGACGAAGAGUUUGCAUUAGUAGACACAUCACAAGGGGAGAAGGAAGAGGAGGGAACAGGAGGCAGGAAGAACAACACUAACAACAUGGAAAGCAGGCAGCGGUCACUGAUCUACCAGGGGGUGUAUUUGCCCGAUGCUCGCUUCAACGCCUUCGCUGACGGGGUGAUGAUCAACAUGGUGGCGGAGAUGAAGAGGAAGGAGAUGGACCCGCUGUAUUUCCGAGUGUUCCAGCGCGGUAUUAUUGAACACGUGCCUCUAAGUAGCUCCACCACGCCCUCCACCUCCACCUCCUCCACCUUCACCACCACCACCACCACCGCCGCCUCCACAUCAAGAAGAGGAAGGCAGCGUGGCGAGGCAAUAGGCGGGGGUGUCAUAAGAGGGCUAACCAAUGUGAGAAGAUUUGGCAACGCUGAGGUUCAAGUCGCUGGCAACACUACUUUGGUGCGCGGCAAGUGGCUGAUGGGACCGUUAGACCUGAUCAUUGACUUCCGCGCAGGACUCUCUAGGACACUCGGGGCAUAACAAGGGUGCGCACUGGCCUGCUGGCGGUACAGUUCGACACACUCACCUCUGUUGACCGAUUCGGCGCCCAAAUGUCUGACUUUAACAUUGUCAGCCCUCUAUACGACUACAUGCCUUACUACGGGAACAGAACAGCAGCACAGCAGGCCACAGCAGAGAGCAUCGUCCGCCACCUCUUCUCCUCCGCCUCCUUUGUGAGCGAGAUGCUGAAGGGGAGUUUUUGGGUAGCCUCCUAUGACAAGAUCGUUCCCCAGUUCGGCGCUGACGGAAACUAUUAUAAUGUUUUGAAGUAUUUGUUUAGUUCGGCGCCCUCUGCUUCGGCUUUUAAGAGUGGUGGUGGUGGUGGUGGUGGUGGUGGUGG
Molecule: unclassified non-coding RNA, 1326 nt
Filed under: Portunus trituberculatus (swimming crab)
Lineage: Eukaryota; Metazoa; Arthropoda; Malacostraca; Decapoda; Portunidae
Description: uncharacterized LOC123519941, transcript variant X3
Source: RNAcentral